GACGAACGCUGGCGGCGUGCCUAAUACAUGCAAGUAGAACGCUGAAGAGAGGAGCUUGCUCUUCUUGGAUGAGUUGCGAACGGGUGAGUAACGCGUAGGUAACCUGCCUGGUAGCGGGGGAUAACUAUUGGAAACGAUAGCUAAUACCGCAUAAAAUUGAUUAUUGCAUGAUAAUUAAUUGAAAGAUGCAAUUGCAUCACUACCAGAUGGACCUGCGUUGUAUUAGCUAGUUGGUGAGGUAACGGCUCACCAAGGCGACGAUACAUAGCCGACCUGAGAGGGUGAUCGGCCACACUGCUGACUGAGACACGGCCCAGACUCCUACGGGAGGCAGCAGUAGGGAAUCUUCGGCAAUGGGGGGAACCCUGACCGAGCAACGCCGCGUGA
Molecule: ribosomal RNA, 387 nt
Filed under: Streptococcus sanguinis
Lineage: Bacteria; Bacillati; Bacillota; Bacilli; Lactobacillales; Streptococcaceae
Description: bacterial SSU rRNA
Rfam family: Bacterial small subunit ribosomal RNA
Source: RNAcentral